AGAGAUAUGGGAUUAAUAUAAGAAUAUUGGUUUCUCUAGGAUUUUGUACUUGUUGUUGAUGAAUGUAUUUUUGUUUGUGGGAACCUCGUUGAGGUGGGAUUAGGAUUUCCUUGAUUCUAAGAAAUAGGCUUUGAGAUGAAUGUGUGAGUCUAUGACAAGGAAAUUAUGGAUAGUAAUAAGCUUCGAUUUAUGGUUUAGGUGUUACCAGUAUCCAAGUCUAAGCUCCUUCGACUGUAGACUCUCGGUCCCUCUGCUUUCAGUUAACAGGUUUUAUUUUGGAGUAAAGGGAGCCUUAGUCGAGUUUGGAAGGAGCUAGUUUUAGUUUUGUAUGUAUAGAUCCUAAACUAGCAUUCUAACGUUUAGCGUUAUAGUUAUUGUGUAUUGUAGGAUCAAAUGAAAGUUUUGUAUCUAAAAGUAUUAAGAGAUGUAUUAUGUAAAAGUAUGGAAAUUAAAUGACUGGUGGAUUAUGUUA
Quercus robur (English oak) is the source of this 472-nucleotide long non-coding RNA. RefSeq lists it as uncharacterized. Lineage: Eukaryota; Viridiplantae; Streptophyta; Magnoliopsida; Fagales; Fagaceae. The transcript has 2 exons. The record is from RefSeq and is a predicted model, not a curated record.